This 79-nucleotide small nucleolar RNA is filed under the name Pediculus humanus corporis (human body louse). Lineage: Eukaryota; Metazoa; Arthropoda; Insecta; Psocodea; Pediculidae. The record is from RNAcentral.
UUUUUAUGAUGAAAAAAAAUUUUUUACACCAGUUCUGCUACUGAACACCCACACGGUGAUGAAAAUUCCACUCUGAAAG